UGGGGAAUAUUGGACAAUGGGCGCAAGCCUGAUCCAGCAAUGCCGCGUGUGUGAAGAAGGCCUGCGGGUUGUAAAGCACUUUCAGGGGGGAAGAAAGGGUCGGGGUUAAUACCCCUGGCUUCUGACGUUACCCCAGCAAGAAGCACCGGCUAACUCCGUGCCAGCAGCCGCGGUAAUACGGAGGGUGCAAGCGUUAAUCGGAAUCACUGGGCGUAAAGCGCACGUAGGCGGCACGUUAAGUCAGCUGUGA
RNAcentral lists this ribosomal RNA (250 nucleotides) under uncultured bacterium. Its description in RNAcentral is "partial 16S ribosomal RNA". It matches the Rfam family "Bacterial small subunit ribosomal RNA", at positions 355 to 597 of the family's 1533-position model. The record is from RNAcentral.